UCAACAACUCGGUCUGACCUUUGCUAUCAGAGUCAGCCUAUGCCAAGCACUGCAGCAGUUUCAGCAGCUGAUCUGCCAUUAAACGCUCGCUGUCUGCAGGUGGCGGACGGACACUCGCGGGUCAGCUGACCGUCGGCCGUCACGCGGGAUAAAAGACCGCCGACUCGGACACUUCUGGAGAGACUUUGUGGCUCUCACGGUUCCUUCACCGGCGACCUCGCGUUUUACUGUACUCUUAUUUCUGGGAUAGGAAAGUAGCAGAGCUGGAGAGUAUGCUGUUUUGGCACAGCCAUCCUGAAAACUACCAGCAGCACGCGCAAAACACUUACAUCAGAGAUGCUCUUGCUCCGUUUCUCAAGCAUGAAGAAGAACAUCAGGCUGCAGAGAUCGGAGCAUCUCCUUUUCAUUAUGUGCUUUGUGCAGCCACUUCUCCAGCUGUGAAACUCCAUGAUGAAACACUCACAUAUCUGAAUCAAGGUCAGUCCUAUGAAAUCCGUAUGCUUAACGGGAAGCUGGUGGAGUAUACAGAUGUAAGCAGCAAAUAUGUAAAGAGCAUUGUGCGUGUUGUUUUUCAUGACCGGCGGCUGCAGUACACAGAGCAUCAGCAGCUGGAGGGAUGGAGGUGGAACCGGCCAGGAGACAGGAUUCUGGAUAUAGAUAUCCCACUGUCAGUGGGCAUAAUAGAGCCUCACGCUCACCCACUGCAGCUCAACACCAUCGAAUUCCUCUGGGAUCCUGACAAAAAUGCCUCUGUCUUCAUUCAGGUUAAUUGCAUUAGCACAGAGUUCACUCCUAGAAAACACGGUGGAGAGAAAGGUGUCCCUUUUCGGAUUCAGAUUGACACAUUCACAGCCAGUGCACAUGGAGAAUACACUGAACACAUGUGCUCCGCCAGCUGCCAGGUCAAAGUCUUUAAGCCUAAAGGUGCAGAUCGCAAGCUCAAGACUGACAGAGAGAAGAUCGAGAAGAAGAGUCUUCAGGAUAAAGAAAAAUACCAACUGUCCUAUAAAACGACUGUGUUGACUGAGUGCUCCCCUUGGCCCGAAGCCCCAUCCAUCAGCAGCACGAGCAACACUCCAUCACCUGCUUAUCACAGCGCUCACACUUCCUACAGCUUUCCAGAGGAGUGUGUGUUUGAGGACAUGGAUGAUGCUAUUCUUCUUCUUUUUGCCAUUAGCACCUGUUGCCUUCGUCCUCCACACAGGACACACAGCAGUGGCUCCAUCGUAACAGGUUCUCCUCUUUCUGCAGGCUCUUCUCUGGCUUCUCAGGUUCAGAUCUGCUAAAAAUGGGUCGAGAUGACUUCAUUCAGAUCUGUGGUCCUGCUGAUGGCAUUCGUCUUUUCAAUGCAAUCAAAGGAAGGUGCAUCCAGCCACGUCUCACUGUCUAUGUCUCCCAGCUGCAGAACAGGAUCCAGCCGCACACAAAAGCAGUGGGUGACGGCGCGAAUACAUGGCGUAUAUAGACAAGGGCCGAAGGGGAUACAUGUCUUGGUUUCAGAUGAGAUGGUGCAGAACUUUACAGAGGAGGCAAGCUUCACUAUCAGCACUGUAAAAGAUGACAGGAAUGAAGGCUAUCAUGUUGUACUGAAGUGACUUGACGACUGAAGCAUGGUCUGUAGCUUCUCUUUACGAUACUGGACUGUUUUUCAGCUAAAUAUCACCUGGUGGAAUGUGACACGAAUGAAUGUGGAUGAGGUUUGUAUGAUGACUGUGCCUUACUCUCAGAGAGAAUCCUCUGGACUGUUUUACUGGAAAUUGAUUCAAAUGUUUAUUGUGUUUGUUUAUACAUAUUUUUGUUCAUAUGUGUUUUAUAGUAAUUAUUUUAUCAUGUGAAAUGAAAUUCUUGAAGUCUUUUCAAAGCAUCGUCUGACAUUUAUUUUCUAUUUUAGAGUUUUCAAAAUAGUAAAAAGUUAAAUAUAUUUAAUGUAUUAUGUUGUAUGUUUCUAGAAAAAAACUCUAAUUCAAAAUGUAGCAUUUUAAAACGUUGAUAAAGUCUCCUCUAACUGGAAAUAAUCUGUUUCAUAUUGGACAGGUUCUGUUGAUCAGAAUGAAAAUAUUGAAAUAAAAGUCUUUGCUCAG
Danio rerio (zebrafish) is the source of this 2081-nucleotide non-coding RNA. The record is from RefSeq and is a predicted model, not a curated record. NCBI's taxonomy places the organism in Eukaryota, Metazoa, Chordata, Actinopteri, Cypriniformes, Danionidae.